Long non-coding RNA from Nylanderia fulva, 337 nucleotides. RefSeq lists it as uncharacterized. The record is from RefSeq and is a predicted model, not a curated record. NCBI's taxonomy places the organism in Eukaryota, Metazoa, Arthropoda, Insecta, Hymenoptera, Formicidae.
CGUUGUGCGUGCAAUUUCGAAUAAGAAAAAUAAAUAAAUAUUCUUGAUUUAUUUAUCAUUAUUAAUCAAUUUCGUUAACCGCGUCGCGCGGCGUGAAGUUGUCGGCGCAUACGACAGACUUAAUUCACUCGUCAUUUAGGGGCGGAAAGUAACAGACGUGUCGGGAGGCCGCGGUACAUCGAGCUGUGAUUGCGUGCACAAUUCUGUCAUAAAGGAGCAACUUAACCUAACGGAGGCGUCAGGGAGGUGGAAGAGGAGGAUUCCGGAGUCAGUAUCGAAAGGUGGAGCAAAAGAACGAGGAAGAUGAUGCGAUGAUGCCGGGGAUGAAUCGGCAAUG